This is a long non-coding RNA of Amphibalanus amphitrite, 1461 nucleotides long. RefSeq lists it as uncharacterized. Lineage: Eukaryota; Metazoa; Arthropoda; Thecostraca; Balanomorpha; Balanidae. The record is from RefSeq and is a predicted model, not a curated record. The transcript has 2 exons.
CCCAUCCCCUUCCCCCAUCUGCGUCCAUCUCGAAAAUAGUGCGCCAUUUCUGUCACAACAUAUGGCAGCCAAUGGGAGCUACCAAAUCUCAACUUUCGUUUGACGGGCUGCAGGCCGUCAGGUCGACGGUGACGGGCCCGACACCGACAGACUGACGGUCAUGUGUGAACUGCGUUUAAAAUGAAAGGCUGGAAUGAGUUCUAUAGCCUUGGCUGGAAUAGCGAUAGGUUCAACUUUCAAGAAGCCAUGGACCAUGGAAACAAAUAUCUUUAUAUACCCUGGAAACACUGUCUCGAAACGCCUGGAUUUGCAGUGCGAGCCGUAAGUUCUGUGACGCAGUGGCAGCCAGCAGCAUUCAAGCCAAGCACCCCGAAUGGUAUGCAAUUCAACGUCGCAGUAUGUUGCACGAUCGACCGAACCGAACAGCACCUAUCGACCGGUUCAAACCGGUAUCGACCGGCACACCUAACCUGCCGGGUUGGGUGUGCGGGGCCGGUCUGAAGCGCGUCAAAACACCGUGCCGGGGGCGGCACCAGUGACCCAGUUUGGGCUGUACGUCGGCGCCUCACCACGGAAACGCUCCCUCGAGACGGGUACAUUGCCCGGAGGGGAGGGGAGGGAAGUCGCGGCCAGUGUGCGUGAGUUGGGGGAGUAUUCUUGAGUGACUCAUUCAGCGGGUGAAUCAGGACGGCCGUCGAGUCGCCAUUUUGUGUGGUAGUUUGGCGAAAUCAAUGCCUGUUAGGGGUAAUCUCGCGAUCUUAAUGCGCGGCUUGCUGGGUGACACUCACGAUGCUUAGAGACCAUGAACGGCAAAGUAGUAUUCAAGCCUUGAGUGGCGUGCGGUACGCCAUAAGUAAAGCUUUCAGGAAAUUUGAAUUAUGUAUGUGCAAAGGUUGCUACGAGAGAUGAAAACAGGUCUUUCAUGUCCACAAGAAGCUGCCUAAAAUGUUCAAAAUUGAUGGGUGGUGCGGAAACAUUUCAUUUUGAAGCGGACAGACAUGACUUGAAGGAAACGUCUAGCUGAUGUGCAUUUGCGGCAAAAUAUUUGACACGGCAAAAUGCUAAACAUCGUUCGUAUUUCCAGAAUUAUUAUAACUAGCCGCCAUCUCGUCAGCUACAUAACGCUGUGGCACAUUAUCAGUUGUUGUGUGUUCUUUUUUCUAUCCAUUGGGUACGCAAAAGCCUGAUGCUCCGUUGUCAUCCUCGCCUUGUACAUACGUUUAUGCCAGGCCGGCUUCUGGAGUGUUUUUUUUCUCUCUUAGGAUAUCCACAGGGCUGACGUGACCUUCUAUCCAUAAUAUCCAUAGGUCUGUUGUCGCUUUCCAUUCGGAAUAUCCAUACGUCUGAUGUGGCCUUCUGCGUGAAAUACCCAUUGGUCUGAUGUGGUCUUCUACCUGGAAUAUCCUGUAGCCUGAGUUGACUUUCUACCCGGAAUAUCAAUACACCUGCUGUUGCUUUCUA